This 483-nucleotide ribosomal RNA is filed under the name Rahnella sp. CY12. RNAcentral describes it as "bacterial SSU rRNA". It matches the Rfam family "Bacterial small subunit ribosomal RNA", at positions 8 to 480 of the family's 1533-position model. Lineage: Bacteria; Pseudomonadati; Pseudomonadota; Gammaproteobacteria; Enterobacterales; Yersiniaceae. The record is from RNAcentral.
AGAGUUUGAUCCUGGCUCAGAUUGAACGCUGGCGGCAGGCCUAACACAUGCAAGUCGAGCGGUAGCACAGGAGAGCUUGCCCUCUGGGUGACGAGCGGCGGACGGGUGAGUAAUGUCUGGGAGACUGCCUGAUGGAGGGGGAUAACUACUGGAAACGGUAGCUAAUACCGCAUGACCUCGCAAGAGCAAAGUGGGGGACCUUCGGGCCUCACGCCAUUGGAUGUGCCCAGAUGGGAUUAGCUAGUAGGUGGGGUAAUGGCUCACCUAGGCGACGAUCCCUAGCUGGUCUGAGAGGAUGACCAGCCACACUGGAACUGAGACACGGUCCAGACUCCUACGGGAGGCAGCAGUGGGGAAUAUUGUACAAUGGGCGCAAGCCUGAUGCAGCCAUGCCGCGUGUGUGAAGAAGGCCUUAGGGUUGUAAAGCACUUUCAGCGAGGAGGAAGGCGCUGUAUUUAAUACCUGCAGCGAUUGACGUUACUC